Molecule: non-coding RNA, 3621 nt
Organism: Amborella trichopoda
Lineage: Eukaryota; Viridiplantae; Streptophyta; Magnoliopsida; Amborellales; Amborellaceae
Source: RefSeq, a predicted model, not a curated record
AUGCACACGCGAAUAAACCAAGGGAGGGAGGCAUCCUUUCUGUAUUAUGUGGGGGCUCACUUCUUGUCGCAAUGCCAGCACGAGGUGUGACGGCACGCUCCAUUUUAGAACGUGGAAGUAAGCUUUCAGGCACGCAGAUGCAAGACAGUGACUCAGGCCAAACGAAAGCGGUCCCCAAUACUUUGGAGAGAGAGAGAUGCUGUUUAUGUUUAAUGGGGAUCGCAUAUUUAGGAUAAGUCUGGAUUGAGGUGGGAGGAGUAGUGAGGGGAAUGAUUUUUGGGGUUUCCAAGUGCUAUUGAAUUGUCGGGAUUAUAAGCCGGAGGAAGAGUGGUUUUUGUUACUGACACAAAGGUGAUGGCAGUUCAGUUUCAGUUAUCUGGAGCUUAUAUGGCUCCUCGGGUUCAGUUGUUGGGCCGGGGCUCAUUGCCCAAAAGGAAGCCUCAAUUAUUUCGAGGUCUUUGGAUUCGUUCUACUCUCUCACAUACUCAGUUUCCGUCAGGCCUCCAUGGAGGAUCAUGCCAGGCAAGAUCUCAGGGUUCUGGGGAUAGCAUGGAUACCACUACUUCUUCAGACAUCAUUGAUGUGACACCCUUUAAAAUGGGUGAAAGUGACACUAUGGAGAAGACCACUGAUUGUACCCCAGCCCUAACUGUGUUCGAUAACAUUGAGUCUCCAAUUGAGCAUCCUUUUUCACUGUCCAAAAGAGUCAUUGUUCUUGAAGUUUUUUUACGGUCUAUUCCAGCAUACUUAGCAAGAUUGAUGUGGUUGAGCUCUAAGAAUGUGUGGAAAAGAAAAGUGUGGGAUUCAUUUCCAUUUCUGGUGAAGGCCAUUGAUUCAGCAAAACCAUGUUUUGCUUGUCUCUCAGACUCCAUCAACAAACCCCAACCACUUAAGCUCGACAUUUCUCUUCCAUCUCUCAAUGAUAUUAGCUGGAGCUUUUCACGCCUUUUCUAUUUGUUGAACAUACAAUUGGAACGAAAUAUUACAGUGUAUCUUAUUUUGCUCAUGUUAGCGUGUUGCUUCUUCACUAUUGUUGGCGGUUUCCUUUUCUUUAAGUACAGGCAGCGCAAAAAACCUUUGGAAGACUGCUUUUGGGAUUCUUGGGCCUGCCUCUGUUCAUCAUCUUCUCACCUUCGGGAAAAAACGUUCUCUGAACGUAUUAUAGGCCUCUUGCUAGCUAUUGGAGGAUUAUUGUUUUAUUCUCGCUUGACUAGUACAAUGACAGAACAAUUUAGGAGUCAUAUGCAAAAGCUGAGAGAUGGUGCACAAUCCCAAUUAUUGGAAUCCGAUCAUAUCAUUAUUUGUGGAGUAAACAGUCAUCUCACUUUUAUACUUAAACAGCUUAACCAGUAUCAUGAAUACUCAGUUCGCUUAGGUACUGCUACAGCCAGGAAGCAACGUGUUGUUCUUUUAUCUGAACUACCGAGAAAGCAGAUUGAGAGGAUUGCAGAUAAUGUCGCCAAAGAUCUGCAUCACAUUGAUGUUCUUACUAGAAGCUGCAGUCUUAGCCUAUCAGGAUCCUUUGAAAGAGCCGCAGCCCCUCAAGCACGUUCCAUUAUAAUGCUAUCAGCAAAGGGUGACCCGUAUGAAGUUGAUGCGGAUGCAUUCCUCUCUGCUCUUGCUCUACAACCUCUUCCUAAAAUGUCAAAUGUGCCAACUGUCAUAGAGGUUACAAACUCAAGCACCUGCGAUCUCUUGAAAUCAGUCUCGGGCAUAAAAGUGGAGCCUAUUCAGAAUGUGGCAUCCAAAUUAUUUGUUCAGUGUUCUCGCCAGCGGGGCCUUAUCAAAAUUUAUAGGCACUUGCUUGAUUAUCGAAAAGAUGUGUUUAAUGUUUGUAACUUUCCUAGCCUUGAAGGUUUCACUUAUAAGCGUGUAAGACGUGGAUUUUUAAAGGCAGUAGUUUGUGGGCUUUUCAGAAAUGGGAAAAUAAACUUCCAUCCUAGUGAUGAUGUGAUUCUCGAGAAAACUGACAAGCUGCUUCUUGUUGCUCCUGUCAAUGUGCACAAGAAUCCUCCUAGUGGAUUAGUGAAUUGGAAGGAAGAAAAUGGGACUUCUGAAAAGGGAGUACUGGAAAGCAAUGAUUCAGGUAGCAAUGUUGAGUUGAGUACGAGAAAGUCGCGUGUUGAUAAAAUUGUAAAACGUCCCAAGAAAUUUGGUUCGAAGAGCUCAGAUUGGAACUUCGGACCAAAAGAGCACAUACUUAUGCUCGGAUGGCGGCCAAAUAUUGUUGAUAUGAUUCUUGAGUACAAUAAUUAUCUUGGUCCUGGCAGCGUUCUGGAAAUAUUAGCGGAGUCUCCAAUCGAUGAAAGAAACCAUGUAAUGAAAUUCCUGGGUCAGAAGAAGAUACAAAAUGUCAAAGUUUCUCAUAGGAUGGGAAAUCCUAUGAAUUAUGAAGCCUUAAAGGAUGCCAUAUUGACUAUCAACAACUCAGUUCAGAAAGGCGAGAAGAUGAAUCUAUCAAUCGUUGUGGUGUCUGAUAAAGGGUGGUUUGCAGGAGAUCCUGCCAGAGCUGACAAAGAUUCCGCUUAUACUCUCCUUCUGGCAGAAAAGCUUUGUAGAGAUUACAAUGUUAAGGUAGAAAACCUCGUUGCAGAGAUCGUCGAUAUUAAAUUGGGAAAACAAAUUGUGAAAAUAAAACCAUCUUUGACAUAUGUUGGUGCAGAGGAAAUAAUGGGACUUGUAACAGCUCAAGUGGCCAAGGAUGAUGAAUUGAAUCAGGUGUGGACAGAUUUACUCAACUCAUGUGGAGACGAAAUAUAUGUGAAGGACAUAAGCAAUUAUAUGAAAGAUGGUGAGAAGCCAUCAUUUUCCGAGCUUUCAGAAAGGGCAAUAUUGCGUCAGGAAGUUGCUAUUGGUUAUAUGAAGGACAACAAGAAGGUUAUAAACCCACCAAAUAAAUCAGAACCACUGUCCCUUGGGAUGGAAGAUUCACUGAUUGUCAUCUCCGAAUACGAAAUAUCAACAACCUGAAUUUGCUGAUUUUGUACUAUUAGAGCAUUGAAGGUGCAUUCCUUCACCAUAUGUUAUCAUGGAAUGUACAAUUUAUGUUUAUAAUGCAAAGGCCCCUUUGUUUCCUAUUCGCGCAUUGUGGCCUAAAGGCACUAGGUCCUUUCAAGCAAUACUUGUGGGUGGUUUGCUUCCUUCUCUGUAGUUCUCCCCUCAUAUUAUUUUCUCUGUCCGAGGUAAAACUUGCAGAGGAAGGUCCAGUAGACCAAUUUCAUGCAUCGAUAGAGCAAGAAACUAAGGUAAAAUUUCAAAAAUUUGUUUCCUUUAGGAUGAACAUGAAAACAUAUCCUUAUACAAUAUCAUUGGACUAAUAGAACACUAGAAUACCUGCUGAAUUAGUCCACAUCAUUAGAAUGCCUAUGGCGAAAAGAGUUCCAUUGUCCUUUAUUCGAAAGACCACUCAACUUUGACAGUUACAACUUACAAGUGCUAGUGACGAAGCAUAGUCAAUUAGCAAAAGAAACCUAAGUUAAGGGUAGUGCUUGCUGUUGAGGAAGUAUCAUUGGUGUCAAUGUCUACAAGAACCCAAGGUGUCUAUUACAAUGGUUUAAAAAGCCGGUACAGCUGGGCAUGUCUCCACAAUUGUUAUUUAUAAAUAAUACAAAUAAAAUAUCA